This 752-nucleotide ribosomal RNA is filed under the name uncultured Bacteroidales bacterium. RNAcentral's name for it is "bacterial SSU rRNA". It matches the Rfam family "Bacterial small subunit ribosomal RNA", at positions 28 to 769 of the family's 1533-position model. The record is from RNAcentral. Lineage: Bacteria; Pseudomonadati; Bacteroidota; Bacteroidia; Bacteroidales.
GAUGAACGCUAGCUACAGGCUUAACACAUGCAAGUCGAGGGGCAGCAUGGUCUUAGCUUGCUAAGGCCGAUGGCGACCGGCGCACGGGUGAGUAACACGUAUCCAACCUGCCGUCUACUCUUGGACAGCCUUCUGAAAGGAAGAUUAAUACAAGAUGGCAUCAUGAGUCCGCAUGUUCACAUGAUUAAAGGUAUUCCGGUAGACGAUGGGGAUGCGUUCCAUUAGAUAGUAGGCGGGGUAACGGCCCACCUAGUCUUCGAUGGAUAGGGGUUCUGAGAGGAAGGUCCCCCACAUUGGAACUGAGACACGGUCCAAACUCCUACGGGAGGCAGCAGUGAGGAAUAUUGGUCAAUGGGCGAGAGCCUGAACCAGCCAAGUAGCGUGAAGGAUGACUGCCCUAUGGGUUGUAAACUUCUUUUAUAAAGGAAUAAAGUCGGGUAUGUAUACCCGUUUGCAUGUACUUUAUGAAUAAGGAUCGGCUAACUCCGUGCCAGCAGCCGCGGUAAUACGGAGGAUCCGAGCGUUAUCCGGAUUUAUUGGGUUUAAAGGGAGCGUAGAUGGAUGUUUAAGUCAGUUGUGAAAGUUUGCGGCUCAACCGUAAAAUUGCAGUUGAUACUGGAUAUCUUGAGUGCAGUUGAGGCAGGCGGAAUUCGUGGUGUAGCGGUGAAAUGCUUAGAUAUCACGAAGAACUCCGAUUGCGAAGGCAGCCUGCUAAGCUGCAACUGACAUUGAGGCUCGAAAGUGUGGGUAUC